Molecule: ribosomal RNA, 2090 nt
Filed under: human gut metagenome
Description: bacterial LSU rRNA
Rfam family: Bacterial large subunit ribosomal RNA
Source: RNAcentral
GAAAUCAGGGGGACCACCCCCUAAGGCUAAAUACUACUUAGUGACCGAUAGCGCAUAGUACUGUGAAGGAAAGGUGAAAAGGACCCCGGGAGGGGAGUGAAAGAGAACCUGAAACCCUGUGUCUACAAGCUGUGGAAGUGCUUUAUAUGCACGACCGCGUACUUUUUGUAGAACGGUCCGGCGAGUUACGCUUACUGGCAAGGUUAAGCACUUCAGGUGUGGAGCCGUAGGGAAACCAAGUCUUAAGAGGGCCUUAAGUCAGUAGGAGUAGACCCGAAACCGGGUGAUCUAUCCAUGUCCAGGUUGAAGCUGCCGUAAGAGGUAGUGGAGGACCGAACCCACAUCCGUUGAAAAGGGUGGGGAUGAGGUGUGGAUAGGGGAGAAAUUCCAAUCGAACCCGGAGAUAGCUGGUUCUCCUCGAAAUAGCUUUAGGGCUAGCCUCGAUACAGAUUUGCGGAGGUAGAGCACUGAAUUUCCUAGGGGGCGUCAAAGCCUACCGAAGAAUAUCAAACUCCGAAUGCCGCGUAAUCGAUUAUCGGGAGUCAGACUGCACGAGAUAAGUUGGGCGGUCAAAAGGGAAAGAGCCCAGACCUUCAGUUAAGGUCCCCAAGUGCGCGUUAAGUGGAAAAGGAUGUGGGAUUUCGAAGACAACCAGGAUGUUGGCUCAGAAGCAGCCAUCCAUUCAAAGAGUGCGUAAUAGCUCACUGGUCGAGAGGUCCUGCGCCGAAAAUGUCCGGGGCUGAAACGCGCCACCGAAACUAAGGAACCGAAAGGUUGGUAGAGGAGCAUUGCAUGCGGAACGAAGCAGUACCGUAAGGAGCUGUGGACUGCAUGGAAGAGAGAAUGCCGGAAUGAGUAGCGAGAAUAAGGUGAGAAUCCUUAUGGCCGAAUAUCCAAGGUUUCCAGAGUAAAGCUGAUCUGCUCUGGGUAAGUCGGGGCCUAAGGCGAGGACGAGAGUCGUAGCCGAUGGACAACAGGUGGAGAUUCCUGUACUGCGGUAUGACAGAACUGUGGGGACACGUAAGGAAAGCGGAAGCCGGGAAUGGAAAGCCCGGUGCAAGCGGGGUACCAGUCACUUUGGCAAAUCCGGGUGGCAAUGGGAAGCCGUGAUGCGGAGCGAAAUAAAGUAGCGAAGUCCGUGAGCCAUGCGUCAAGAAAAGCCGCUAUCGUUUAUACCGUACCCGUACCGUAAACCGACACAGGUGGAUGAGGAGAGAAUCCUAAGGCCGGCGGAAGAAGCAUUGUCAAGGAACUCGGCAAAAUGGCCCCGUAACUUAGGGAUAAGGGGUGCCUGGGAAACCAGGCCGCAGAGAAUAGGCUCAAGCAACUGUUUAGCAAAAACACAGGUCUAUGCGAAACCGAAAGGUGAGGUAUAUGGGCUGACGCCUGCCCGGUGCUGGAAGGUUAAGAGGAGAGGUUAGCGGUAACGCGAAGCUUUGAAUUUAAGCCCCAGUAAACGGCGGCCGUAACUAUAACGGUCCUAAGGUAGCGAAAUUCCUUGUCGGGUAAGUUCCGACCCGCACGAAAGGCGUAAUGAUUUGAGCGCUGUCUCGACAAUGCAUCCGGUGAAAUUGAAGUACCAGUGAAGAUGCUGGUUACCUGCGCCAGGACGGAAAGACCCCAUGGAGCUUUACUCCAGUCUGGUACUGGGACUCGGUAUUGCAUGUACAGGAUAGGUGGGAGGCUAGGAGAUGGUAACGCCAGUUGCCAUGGAGCCGCUGUUGGGAUACCACCCUUGCAGUAUUGGGUUUCUAACCAGCCGCCGUGACCCGGCGGUGGGACAAUGCCAGACGGGGAGUUUGACUGGGGCGGUCGCCUCCGAAAGGGUAUCGGAGGCGCCCAAAGGUUCCCUCAGAAUGGACGGAAACCAUUCGAAGAGUGCAAAGGCAGAAGGGAGCUUGACUGCGACACCGACGGGUGGAGCAGGUACGAAAGUAGGGCUUAGUGAUCCGGUGGUAUUAAGUGGGAAUGCCAUCGCUCAACGGAUAAAAGCUACCCUGGGGAUAACAGGCUUAUCACUCCCAAGAGUUCACAUCGACGGAGUGGUUUGGCACCUCGAUGUCGGCUCAUCGCAUCCUGGGGCUGUAGUA